Long non-coding RNA from Centruroides sculpturatus (bark scorpion), 2418 nucleotides. RefSeq lists it as uncharacterized. Lineage: Eukaryota; Metazoa; Arthropoda; Arachnida; Scorpiones; Buthidae. The record is from RefSeq and is a predicted model, not a curated record. The transcript has 3 exons.
UAAAAUUUAAAAUUUCUCAACACGUGAUUGAUUCCCACUAUCACGUGACCAAGAUUCCUCGUGAAUAAAGUUCGUCUGCCAGUAAAGCAUAUUUGACUAUUUCAAUUUGGUACAAUGAACCGGCAGGCUGGAUUCUCUACAUUGGUGCAGCUGACAGAAUAGUGAAGCUAGAUCAAUAAGAUUUGAUUGAUGAAAAGAGUGCUUACGAUCCAGAAUAAGAAGAGUGGAUAGUGGGUCAUGGCACAAAGCAUAGUACUGUACCAUAUUAUGAAGAGAUUACCCCAAAGACUUUUUGAGGAAUAUACAGGUUUUAAACUGCAGAAGAGGUAAGAAAAUAAUAUUUUUUCUUUACUUUGUUGCAGUGGAAAUCUCAUGGCAGAAUGCUAAGCGUAAAGGGAGUUAAAAAGGAAGAUCUAUGGAUUGUGGCGGAAGAGCUUCGUGGCACAAUAGACAAUGAUCUGAAGUAUAUCCAUUGUGUCUGCGAAGCACUCCACUGUGUAUUCUGCUACUGGUGAAAAGAAGAAGAAGAAGAAGCUUAUUCUCAAUGAGAAAAUUCAGAUAAUAUGUAAAAAUGGCAGCUAUGUCAAUUGCUCAUGAGUUUGGGCUAUUACAAUCAAUGACAGCCCAAAUUUGCAUUAUGUAUUGUAAUCUUGUAUAUAGCCUAUUUAUUUACUUACAUUUUUGACUUACGAUAUGAUGGAGUUACAAUGCACGUCAAGGAGAGAUGAUAUCUAUUUCCUAUCGCAUAACUUCAAAAACUAUUUGACUACAAGAGAGACUAGUACAACCAUUUCAUUCUAGAACUGUGGAAAGAGCAAAUUCCAUUUUUCCUUGUUUUUGAAUUAGUGGUUUACAUUAAAAAGAACAGAACUAGUUUUUGUGCUUUCAAUUGGAUCAUUUGUUAUUCUAACUUACUAUGUACAAAAAUAAAUUAACAAAAAUAAGAAGGAAUUAUUACUUGGAUGUUUGUAUGUUUCAUGUAAAAAUCAUCCUAAUUGUUUAAUUUGGCAACAUAAUUAUAUUGCACAAUAUAUAUAAUGUGAGAUCCGAAUAGCCCCCGGGUCUAAAUUAAUAAUUUAAAAAUAAUGUUAAAGUUUUGUCAUAAAAUAUUCUUUCAUUUGGGAUGGAAAAAUAACGUUUUUUAGUGUGGGAAAACAGCUAGGAGAGUCACUUCCUUCCAGGGAAGUUAGAACAUCCUCUGUUUUUCCCUUAUCUGCCAAAAAUCUCGCUUCGGUGGGAACUGCUUACCCUUCAUUUCAUCCCCUUCCCAUCCGUUCACGUGGAUAUUGCCUCGACUGAUAAUUGGUCGUAGAUGAGAAGAUAUAUGGCAUGUUCAACCGAAUUUGGGGAGUUUGUCAGAAAUCUCAUAGAGGAGAGACGUCUCCCAUACUGGCUCCCCAGCUCCCUUAGGAGUUCAUCAGGAGAUCUGAUAGUAGAAAGAAGUCUCCAUAUUGGUUCCACACUGCCCUUAGGAGUUCGUCAACAGACCCCCGAGCAUUAAGACGAAGUCCGAACAAGCUCCUGAUGGCCAACGCCCUUAGUCGAAUCACAGAGAAUAAAUCCAGAGUUAGCGCUUAGAAGAUAUACUUUAGUAUUGUGCACAUCUCAAUCUCCCAUGGAAUGAAGUUUGAGAACUUUAUAAACGAAGCGCCUUUGCCAACCGAUGAAGAUGAUGAGUGACAACUAAACCAGGUUGUAUGUUUAAUAGCGAUAUUGUAAGCUCUCUCUCUCAAUUGUGUAUCGGUUAAAGGAUAAGUUCUUAUAUCUCUCGACUUAUAUUUAUAUAUUGUGAUUUGAAUUAAUUGUCUCUCAUUCGUUUGCUUAUUAUAAUGGUAUUAAUCCAUUAGUGUAUAGUCACAAAUAUAUAUAUGAUUGAUUAAAUUUAUUCUUGUUUAUUUGUUAAAGGAUGUCUCAUUAUUAUUAUUUCUUGAAUAGGAUCUACAGCAUAAAUUUCACGCGUGUUUAUCCGCGUUACGCAAGUAGAUAAACUGGUGUCGGGAACCUGACGUUGUGAUAGAGACUUCACAGUCUUUAAUCCUCAUUAAGCCUGAAUAUUACAGCCCUCCUAUGAAGAUUUAAGAUCAGAUCUCGCGAUUCGAAACUUUAGAGAACUAUUCUCACGGAAUAGGCCAGUAAGUGGUGUAAACUUAGUUCUACGUCCUGGUGGAUCUCACAAUAAUUAUAGAUUCAUUAUUUGUGAUCUGUAAGACUAGUAUUCUAACAAGGGAAGCCUGGGUGGUUGUCAUCACUGAUUUCAACAAAACUUCAUGGAUGUAUAGUAUUUACUGUUGCUUAAACGCUGCAGGACCCACUAUUCAGGCAUUCUUAAGAAAAUCACAAUCGAAGUUUUUCUAUAACUAUUAAGUACGCAGAAGCACAGUUCACGUGUCUGUUAUCAAAACAAAAUGUAAAGAUUGU